This 495-nucleotide ribosomal RNA is filed under the name uncultured bacterium. RNAcentral describes it as "partial 16S ribosomal RNA". It matches the Rfam family "Bacterial small subunit ribosomal RNA", at positions 28 to 507 of the family's 1533-position model. The record is from RNAcentral.
GACGAACGCUGGCGGCGUGCCUAAUACAUGCAAGUAGAACGCUGAAGGAGGAGCUUGCUUCUCUGGAUGAGUUGCGAACGGGUGAGUAACGCGUAGGUAACCUGCCUGGUAGCGGGGGAUAACUAUUGGAAACGAUAGCUAAUACCGCAUAAUAGCAGUUGUUGCAUGACAACUGUUUGAAAGGUGCAAUUGCACCACUACCAGAUGGACCUGCGUUGUAUUAGCUAGUUGGUGGGGUAACGGCUCACCAAGGCGACGAUACAUAGCCGACCUGAGAGGGGGAUCGGCCACACUGGGACUGAGACACGGCCCAGACUCCUACGGUAGGCAGCAGUAGGGAAUCUUCGGCAAUGGACGGAAGUCUGACCGAGCAACGCCGCGUGAGUGAAGAAGGUUUUCGGAUCGUAAAGCUCUGUUGUAAGAGAAGAACGAGUGUGAGAGUGGAAAGUUCACACUGUGACGGUAUCUUACCAGAAAGGGACGGCUAACUACGUG